This 253-nucleotide ribosomal RNA is filed under the name uncultured bacterium. RNAcentral's name for it is "partial 16S ribosomal RNA". It matches the Rfam family "Bacterial small subunit ribosomal RNA", at positions 524 to 776 of the family's 1533-position model. The record is from RNAcentral.
UACGAAGGGGGCUAGCGUUGUUCGGAAUUACUGGGCGUAAAGCGCACGUAGGCGGAUUUGUUAGUCAGGGGUGAAAUCCCGGGGCUCAACCUCGGAACUACCUUUGAUACUGCAAGUCUCGAGUCCGGAAGAGGUGAGUGGAAUUCCUAGUGUAGAGGUGAAAUUCGUAGAUAUUAGGAGGAACACCAGUGGCGAAGGCGGCUCACUGGUCCGGUACUGACGCUGAGGUGCGAAAGCGUGGGGAGCAAACAGG